RNAcentral lists this transfer RNA (72 nucleotides) under Pellona ditchela (Indian pellona). Its description in RNAcentral is "tRNA-Trp". It matches the Rfam family "tRNA". From Rfam's summary of the family: Transfer RNA (tRNA) molecules are approximately 80 nucleotides in length. Their secondary structure includes four short double-helical elements and three loops (D, anti-codon, and T loops). Lineage: Eukaryota; Metazoa; Chordata; Actinopteri; Clupeiformes; Pristigasteridae. The record is from RNAcentral.
AGGAACUUAGGAUAAUUUACAGACCAUGGGCCUUCAAAGCCCACAGUAGGAGCGAAAACCUCCUAGUUCCUG